GUAAAAUGGCUGAAGUUUAGGCAGUAAAUUGUAAAUUUAUUAAUGAAUGUAAUUCUUUUACC
RNAcentral lists this transfer RNA (62 nucleotides) under Ixodes ovatus. RNAcentral describes it as "tRNA-Tyr". Lineage: Eukaryota; Metazoa; Arthropoda; Arachnida; Ixodida; Ixodidae. The record is from RNAcentral.